CCUACGAGGUGCAGCAGUGCGGAAUAUUGGUCAAUGGACGCAAGUCUGAACCAGCCAUGCCGCGUGAAGGAAGACGGCUCUAUGAGUUGUAAACUGCUUUUGUACGAGAGUAAAUCCCGAUACGUGUAUCUGGUUGAACGUAUCUUACGAAUAAGGAUCGGCUAACUCCGUGCCAGCAGCCGCGGUAAUACGGAGGAUUCAAGCGUUAUCCGGAUUUAUUGGGUUUAAAGGGUGCGUAGGCGGUUCGAUAAGUUAGAGGUGCAAGCCCGGGGCUCAACUCCGGCACUGCCAUGGAUACUGUCAGGCUAGAGUAGAGUUGCGGUAGGCGGAAUGUAUGGUGUAGCGGUGAAAUGCAUAGAGAUCAUACAGAACACCGAUUGCGAAGGCAGCUUACCAAACUACGACUGACGUUGAGGCACGAAAGCGUGGAGAGCAAACAGGAUUAGAUACCCCUGUAGUC
This 460-nucleotide ribosomal RNA is filed under the name uncultured bacterium. RNAcentral's name for it is "partial 16S ribosomal RNA". It matches the Rfam family "Bacterial small subunit ribosomal RNA", at positions 338 to 795 of the family's 1533-position model. The record is from RNAcentral.